UUCUGAUAGGUAGCUUCUAUAGGUAGAUAGGUUGAUAAAUGUCAGUUGUAGGUGUAAUGUUUUUCUGUCCUUUUAUCUCGAUAUCUGUAUCAUGCUUGAUUUUUCUUCCUCCUCGAUUGCCUUUCUCUGUUUCUUCUUCUCGUUUUUUUAAAAUCUGUUCUUCGCAUAUUUUUUCAUUCCAUGUCGACACGAUUUUGGAUUUUUUCUACGAUUCCUUUUUUAUUUUUUUAUCGUUAUGUGUUUUCGAUUUUUUCUAAGUUCAUUUAUUCGUGUUUCGAUUUGUUCCCCGAUUGGGUUUCUCUGAUUUCCUGGUUGUUUGUCUUCGUUCUGAUAUUCUUUUUUCUUGGUUCCGGCUUUCUCUUUCCUGACUUUCUUUGUCAUAGCUUUAUGCUGCUAUUGUUUUUCUUAUUUCUUGAGAUUUUUACUUCUCUAUUCGUUUUUUCUACUUUUUGAUUUUGGAUUUGUUCGUUUUCUUUUCUGUUUUUGUUUUCUUUAGUUCAUUUUGUUCAUGAUUCUUCUCUUCAGUUUCAUUUCUUGAGUUUUUUUUCCUUGAGUUUCAUUCUCUUCUUGCUUUUUUGGUUAUUCAUUCAUACCUCGGUUGUUACUGGUUUUUUCAUCUGAUUUCAUUUCUACUUCCGUCUGCGUUCCAUCACGCUUUUUAAAGUGAAUGAGGGUUACGGUAGGUGAGUGAUUUAUUGUCGAUGAAUGUUCAGUGAGUGGUCAGUGAAUAAGUUUUCUUUAGUAAUGAAUAAUUCAUUUAAUACUAGUCUUAAUGGGUUCUUGAUUUUAUGUCGGUAAUUUGAUUUAAUUGUGAUUUGACGAGUUAAGAAAGGUGAAAUGAUUCUUGAACAAUAAUUUCAAAUAAUCGGUCGAAUAACGUAAUCGGGGUUUUCCUAACAAACCCGAUUAUGAAAAACAUAUAUACCAUGCCUAACCCUAUUUGGAACCCUAUCCAAAAUUCGUCAAAUCCACGACGCAGACUACAACGUUUCUAUAACAUCUUCAACUGGACGAUGUAGAACAAGGAUAGGUUCGAAAAGCAGCAAGAGGGUAAAGAUUGGCUAAUAUUUCUCUAUGCCGAAAGAUCCACAUCGGAGAUUCUCGACUUGGUAGGUUCUUUAUUAUUAAUGUUUCCGUUUAGGGUCAGACUAGAUUUUCCCGAACCUUAGAUUACACUUAUGCUUUCAGUAUCUAGUUUCUCAUCUAUACUUUCCUUCAUUUCCUUCAUUUCUUAAUUGGUUUCCUCAAUUACAUGACCGACUUGUUUUCAUUGUGUGAUCUGGAAUACCUAUUAACUUUCAAUAUAAAUUUUACAGAGGGUUGAGCUCUACGGAUUUUUUGAGGUUACAAACAGUUUUCUUGUGGCUGCGAAUAAGGGUUGGCGGACCGAUAGUCGGGGUUUACGAUAGACUGUAAGUAAAACUUUUUUUAAAAUAAUUAAAAGACGUAAUUUAAUAGAGUAGUUAUCCUGAUAUUGUCGGCAGGGAUUUGAGGGUGGAUCCAGUAAAUAUAAGGAUUAUUAAUUCGGUAACUGCCAGUAAAUAUAAGGGCGUUUUUAUGGGUGUUUUUGAGGGAGAUAAUUCAGAUUCAUUUGAAAGAUUAUCAAUAUUUUUUAGGGGAUUUUAAGGGUGAUUUUAAGGGUCUUCUGAACAGUGAUAAAUCCGUUUCAUUAGAAGAAUGAUACAUCUUAAAGGGUGAAUGUAUAAUGGUCAUUUUAAGGGAGAUUAAUUUAUGUUUAGAAUGAUAUUUUCAAUUUAAAUAAAUAUCUCAUUUAUUUAAAAAAUAUGAUUUAUUAAACAAUUAUAUUAUGUAAUUUAUUUGAUAAUAUGUCGGAUAUUUUAAUCGGAUAAAUAUUACUGAAUAAUUAGUAGGAUAAUUAUUGGGAUAGAACUUAAUCGGGUCAAGAAAACAUUAUCAGAAUUUGAUAAAAUAAACGUUAUUCUUUAAUUUUUGAAGUUACUGAUUACUUUAUGAAAUUUUUUGCAUUCGAAAAUAAUUUACAUUACUUUUUCAGACGUAAAAGAUUACAAUAUAAAUGCAGAAGUUAUUUUUUCAGACGUUUGAAGAAGAGUUUUUCUAAUAUUUUCAAUAUAAAUGCAGAUCUUGUCGUUGGAUUUCAAUCAAAGAAAGUUUGACCUUGUCAAUCAACUGUAGUUGAUAGCCUGUCCAUCUAACACUCUUAUCCAUUCUUGUAUGACUGACACUCUGUAACAAAUAUUUCAGAAGAGGUAUGUCGGUUUAAAUAAUCCAUUUUGCUUUGCGUUGCCUUGUCUUAUCGUCGUUAUUAUAUCUUGGCAGGAUGUGAAAGACCGGCUAAAAGUCUGGCAUGAUGUGUGAUGGCUUGUGUUCAGUUAAUGAUAGUUGUAACAGGUUGAAAGAUUGUGCAAAUCCUUAUUGAUUCAUUUAUAAUCAAGAGAAAAUUAACUAUUGACAUUUAAUAUUCUGUUAGGAAAUGUAAUUUAAUUGACAUUUAAACCUCUGACAUUAUGAUUUUUUGUAAAACUCUAACUAUUUAAUAAGUGUUAUUUGUUUUUUUACAGAUUUCAAAAAAAUAUUAUUACAGUGUUAUUUAUUAUUUUAAAGUGUAUUAAUUAAUCAUUGUUACAGUGUUAUUUAUUAUUUU
This 2623-nucleotide long non-coding RNA is filed under the name Zostera marina. RNAcentral's name for it is "long non-coding RNA (ZMAR_LNC005922)". Lineage: Eukaryota; Viridiplantae; Streptophyta; Magnoliopsida; Alismatales; Zosteraceae. The record is from RNAcentral.